UGCGUGCUUUAUAUACCUUACUUGAGUUUGCGUGCUCUCAUCUCUUCUUUUUCAUUUGCGCAAGAGCUAUGCCUACUGGUCAACUGCCAAGUAUCAUUAGAUGUUGGCUGAGCCAUAAAAAGGCAUUAAGAUUGGGCAUUGGCGGACUGUCGACUGCUGCUGGCUUACAAUCAAUUAAGUUGGGGCUGCCACAGCCCAUGGUUAUGGUCGGCAUUUCUAAAAUGUUACGAGCCUCAAAUUGAUAGAAACAUUUAUGCAGCCUUGGAGUUAGUUGCCUUUAACCAACAACCAGAAGCAACAGCAGCAGCAUCAGAGUCAGCCAACAAACCGGUUUACCAAAGGCUUUUGCCGACCUGCCAAUUGACUUUGUCCAUUCCGCCGGAGAGAGACC
Long non-coding RNA from Drosophila arizonae, 391 nucleotides. The record is from RefSeq and is a predicted model, not a curated record. NCBI's taxonomy places the organism in Eukaryota, Metazoa, Arthropoda, Insecta, Diptera, Drosophilidae.